ACUGGCAACAUAUCAUUCGAGUUAGCUCGAUAUUUCAGCAGGAAAUCGUCGACAUACGAGUCUCGCUUAUUAACGCAAUACAAAUUCAAAAUUAUUCAUUCAACUCGGGAUGACAUACAUCACUAAUUGACGUAAGCACCGACACUGCCAGCUGGCUCCAGCUGCCAGGAGACAAUGGUCUGCGGGCGUACCUGGCGAGGUAUCUCCUCCAGGCAUGGGCCGCGGCCGGGGUCCAGGUCCAGGAGGCCAUGAGCGCGCCGGCCGCGAAGCAGCAGAACAGCCGCACUUGCAGCACGGACACUGAUGGCCGCACGCCGCUGGGACACUCCUUGCUGGGCUCCUUCAACGCUUCUAGGCGACAGCUAUGAAAAAAAUAUUCCUAAUUAUAGGUACAUUAAAAUUCACCAAAACCGUGACUAAAUUCAA
This is a long non-coding RNA of Plodia interpunctella (Indianmeal moth), 426 nucleotides long. RefSeq lists it as uncharacterized. The record is from RefSeq and is a predicted model, not a curated record. The transcript has 2 exons. Lineage: Eukaryota; Metazoa; Arthropoda; Insecta; Lepidoptera; Pyralidae.